RNAcentral lists this ribosomal RNA (253 nucleotides) under uncultured bacterium. RNAcentral's name for it is "partial 16S ribosomal RNA". It matches the Rfam family "Bacterial small subunit ribosomal RNA", at positions 524 to 776 of the family's 1533-position model. The record is from RNAcentral.
UACGGGGGGGGCAAGCGUUGGUCGGAAUUACUGGGCGUAAAGGGCGCGUAGGCGGCCAUCUAAGUCAGACGUGAAAUCCCUCGGCUCAACCGAGGAACUGCGUCUGAUACUGGAAGGCUUGAAUCCGGGAGAGGGAUGUGGAAUUCCAGGUGUAGCGGUGAAAUGCGUAGAUAUCUGGAGGAACACCGGUGGCGAAGGCGGCAUCCUGGACCGGUAUUGACGCUGAGGCGCGAAAGCUAGGGGAGCAAACGGG